RNAcentral lists this ribosomal RNA (4882 nucleotides) under Triticum aestivum (bread wheat). Its description in RNAcentral is "partial small subunit ribosomal RNA". Lineage: Eukaryota; Viridiplantae; Streptophyta; Magnoliopsida; Poales; Poaceae. The record is from RNAcentral.
CGGUCCAAUCCAAUCCCCCGCACGCCGCAACCCUCCCUCCCUCCUCGAUCUCUCUCCCUCAGCCGCCACGAACCUAGCUCCCUUUCCUACGAUCCCGCGGUCGCUGCCGCUGCUCCAUCUGACCUCCCUCGUCAGCCGCCGCCGCCGCUGCGGCUCCUCCGUCCACCGACUCUGUCCGUGCAAGCGGCCAGUUUCCUUCCGCCCGACCUUCUCCACUGUCUCCCCAGUUCAUCAUCCGUCCCUUGCUGCUCGAGGUGCUCAUCUGCCCAGGCCGCGAGGAAGCAACGUGAGGAGGAGAGACCUCGUCUCGAGAAGCCGCGGGAGGAGGGGCUCAAGCAGAGAAGAGCAGAUGCCAGCCAGGUAGUCGGCUUGGCUCGACGCCGUCCUUCGUGUCCGGGCCGCGGCAGACCCUAGCGCCGUCCUUCAGGUGUCUUCGCGGCUGCAGGUCCGCAUGUGAGCCCCCAACCAUCUCUCUCUCCCGCACUCAUUUUCCCUCUCACGUUUAGCAUUUGAGGCUGUAAAUCUAAGCACUAGCUGUUUGUAAAAAUGCUCAAGGAGAACUGCUUAGAGGAAGGCAGUAUGUUCUACAGUUUCAGUUACAUGAUUACAUACAGCUAAAGAAAAGUUUACAUGAUUCUAUAAUUAUGGUGGAGCUGCACAGGAGGGGGAGGAGGCUGGCGACAGGGAACCGGGCCGGGAGGAGGCAAGGUUUGUGCUGUCAUGUGUUUUUCUCUUUGCAUUUUUCUCCUACUGCGCAUCUGUUCAUGGCAACAAAUUUUUGGAUAAAUAAUGAGUGCCAAGAUAUGUAUGUUGACAAAUGGAUGAGAGGUUUUCAGAGAAAGAUUUGAGCCAUACAUGCGCCAGGUUCUGAGAGUCUAUGAAUGUAAUUGGAAUAUUUUCAAUUGCAAAUCAUUCCCUAAUAUUAUGGUUAAUUAGUUAUUUCUGGUUCUUGUCCACUGACACUCAUCUGGGAUGUAGUAUGAGGAUCGGGUGCGUCAGGAAGCAGCUCUGAAUAUGGUUCCCUUAGAUGAACAUAAGGAGAAUGCGCUUAUUUCACUGGCCAAGGUUUGUGUUUCUGCCUCGGCUUUCUAUUGGUUAUAAGUCUUCUUUUCGUCCUGAUGUUCUCAAUAUUUCUAGAUAACCAUGUUUUGUUGGACUUAUUGAUAAAGUAAAUUUUCGGGUACAAGUUUGGCUCCAAGGAAAGUUAUUGUAUUUACUAAUUUUUUUUUAAUUUAACACCAUGACUAUGCCUCAAUAUUACAAUUGUCGUAAUGGUGUGGAUUGCUAUAUAAAGUUCUAUGUUUGAAGGGAUGUGUUGUCAGAAAUUCUCAUACACGAUUCUUUAGUAGGAAGAGAAUUUCAGUCCUUCAAAAGUGAAGAGGAUCAUGCCUUUCUGUUGGAUUUGGUUUUUUGGUUUAAGCAAUCAUUCAGGUUAUUGAAACACUCAUGUGCCUCUUUUCUUCAGUCAUUACUAAUGUUGAGUGUUGUGUGUCUGAUAUGAGGAAAAUGGUUGAGAGUAAUUACCGGCAGGAGGAUCGCUGGGUGGUAGCUGAGUGGGAGGGUUCAGAUUAGGGAUUACGAGUAUGAAGUAGAUGUGAUAGAUUGUAACUCUUCUUGCUUGAUUAAUUCAUCUCAAGAGGUCCACUUUAUAUAUAGAGGCCUAACAAUUAAAAAACUAAUCAUCCUUACAUGCAUACAUGCAUGCGUCACUCUGGAGCCAAAAACUAAUUACGAGUAUGCAGGUUGCAGUCCCUUGCUCUACAUAUAACUCGCUAACUCUACUAAUUCAUGUAUCAGUAUAUGCAUAUAUGUAGUCCGUUCCCAGUACAUGUGUUCGGAAGACUGGACAUUUGUACUUAUUCAAAAUUUUCUUUUCAUAAAAAGUUCCUUGGAAGAGAUUGCUAAGUUUAACGAGCAAUGUCCCUUUUACAUCUACUUACAGUGUGUUUUUCUUUUGGUUUCACCACAUUUUUAGGUUUUUACAGGUUGUGUAUAGCAUAGGAGGCAUUGAGGAUGAAACAUGAAUGUCCAUUGUUCUUGUCCGCUCCUGAUCUCAGUAGACCUGUGUGAUGUGCUCUUGAUCCUUUCUCUUUUUUCUGUUAAAUGAAUCUCUGACUGAGGAGAGCAUGUUCUUUCAUUCGGUUGCAAUCGUGAAACUUCUUUUGGGUUUUCUUAUUGUACAGUACGAACAUUCCAAAUUAUUUGAUCCUGGAAAUAAGUUGCCAAUUUUCUGUGUGCAAUGAGCUGGGAGCCGGGGUCAGCCCUCUCACCACCAGUCGAACAUACAACUUCAGCCACCAUGUCAAGUGAUAUAAAAGUGUUCUCUGUUUCAUAGAGCAACGACACGAGAUUGUGUCCCCUCUUGCUCCUGGUGCAUGUUGCUGCCCUCCUUUCCCCUCUGACUUGACUUGCUUUACAUUGUGUGAAGUAGUUUACUUUCAACUUUACAACGCUAUAUCAAGUUCGCAACUGUACUUGGCUACACCUAUAACAUGAUGCAUUUCUCUUACAGUUUAUUGAAUAUAUUUUUAAGGAUUGAAUGUUCUAUCUGGUACUGUCCUAUCACUCAUUUAACUAUCUUAAUUUGUUCACAAAACUCCUUCUGUAGCUAAGAUUUCUUUGUACAACACAUACUAAUUAUUGCUCUUAUUCUUAAAUCUUAUUUCACUUUAUUCAGCUGCAGGCUGGGUUAAGAUUGUUUUUGUGCCAGAAACAGGCUAGGCAUUGCUCUAACCUUGGCAGCAAAAAUCGUCUAAAUUUCAUAAAUAAGGUAGUGGAAUAUCUUUGAAUAUGUUCAUUUAAAUAUCUUGAGUUCACCUGUAUGGGUUGCUUCUGUGCACACUUUCUUUGAUAUGACUUUCUAGGUGAGAAAUUCUUUCAUGGUAAUGAUGUAUUAUCGAUAUUUACUAUGUUUCUUAGGCCUAUAGGUUUCUUUUUGUGGGAUGCAAUUACGGUACAAUAUGAAUAUGAUCCUCGAGUUGCAUAUUAUUGCCUUUGGACAUAGACAUGUGCCAUGUAGUAUAACAUUUACAAAGAAUGUCUUGGAGAUUGCAAGUAGAUGAUUACGGUUACCCUGUAACCUUAGGAGUAAGAUAUAUAUGAUGAUAGAAUCUAGAGAUGCUUGCUAAUCUAUAACAAUAAGAUCCAGUCACGUGCAAUAUGUUUUAUUCAUAGAAACAGGGAAUCAAUCUGGCUGAAAGUAGUCAUCUUAUGGCGUGGUGUGAAGAGGUUGUUCACAAACCUCUUACGUGCUCCAUCCUUUGUCACUCUGAUUUGAUUUCCUAAUAUCUGGCUUCUCUGAACAGAUGUGUGCAGAUCUGAGAAAGAAGAGGAAUAAUCCAGCAGAACAAUUUAGUGAAUAAGAACAAGUUGGCAUUUCUCUCUUGUGAAUGCAGUCAUGCCUGCCUAUUGAUUUUAUUAUUUGUGCUAAUGCAAACAUGAAUUCUCUAUAGUUCUUGAUGCAGCACCGCUAAUUACUCAAUCUGCAAUACAUGAUUAUUUCUGGGAGAAGUUUAGUGCAUGAAUUAGCAUUCUGUAAAGUUAGUCUAAGCUCAUGUCUCUAGGCCAGGAUAGAUUUCUCAAUAUCAUUUUUGGGGUUGUUUGAACACUGAACAACAUUGCCAGGUCAACCAUUUCUCAUUUCUUUGUCAUAUCUGUAAAACAUUGACACACCAAGUUUACGGGUGGUGUCUCAAUUUUGUCACCAGCCACUUUCACCGACCCGUAAACUAUCUGUCUCGAGGUCUCCCCAACUGUGUUUGGGUUUAGAAAAACAAAGAACUAUUUUGAAGUCAUUUUCGCAUCAGCUACUUUGUAGGUAUUAUGUGCGUUGUCAGGGAUCUAAUAUCAUGUAGUUCCAGGGAUUUCAGAAGGUCUGGUCAGUCCAUUGUUCUUGCCGUGUGUUACUUUUUCUCAUUACUGUGAUCGUCAGUGCUCUUGACAUCGGUUACUUUUUCUCAUUACUGUGGUCGUCAGUGCUCUUGACAUCGGUUACUUUUUCUCAUUACUGUGAUCGUUUGUGCUCUUGACAUCGGUCGUUCUUGCUUUAUGGUUGCCUUCCCAGUGCACGUUUAUUAGUUCUAACAUAUUAAUGUUAAUAUGCUUGAUUGACCAUAUUAUAUAUUUCACUUCACCGGGGUGGUUGGUGGAAGUGUUGGUUAAAACAAUGUCUCUAAUUAACAAGUUUAUACAGUUGAAUCUUCUUGAUUGACUAUUUUGUAGCUUGCUCUUAGUUGUAUAGUAUUAAUUCUUAAAACUGGAUCUCUUAAAAUUAGUUAAAUUGAACGAGUUGUUUCACUGUUUUGAAAUAAGUAGUUUCAUCCGUCACUGUGUCCUGAAUUUAUUCUUACUGCCUUUUAUGACUUAAAUGUAACUACUGGCAUAUAAUCUCAUGGCUUAAAAUCUUAGUUGAGAAGGUAUUAAAAGUUAUAAGAUCUGGAGUUUCCACUAUUUCAUCCAGCGGUAUUCCCAGUAACUGAAUAUUAAGAGCACUGACGAUCAUAGGUUGUACAUUUAGUUACCGGGAAAUGCUUUUAUCUUGCAGGCCAGUUUUACAUUUACUUUUUCAAUAAUGAGAUGACUAUGAACAGAGUAUCAAGUUUUUUGCCUUGGCAUUACUGCUGCUGUGUACGGAUGGUUACUGAAAGAAGAAGGAUUCAAGCGGCAUACCUUCACUUGACAGAUGCUUUAACCGCAAGAACUGUUGUUAUUUUCUUUUCCUUUCCUACAUUGAUGGUAGUUCGCCUUUGAUUCUAGAAGUCGCAAAGGUGUGAAGGGUAGAGAUUUCCAUUGCCGUUGAAUUGGUGGGAUUGUCACCAAGUUAGUGUUGCAGAUUGUUUCUAUUUUAGAGCAAGAAGCCAAAUCAUGUUGUUCAUUGUAAAUC